UACGAACUGUGCGAACGUUAUUCGGAAUCACUGGGCUUACAGGGCGCGUAGGCGGCUUGGUCAGUCCCGUGUGAAAUCCCUCGGCUCAACUGAGGAACUGCACGGGAAACUGCCUGGCUUGAGUUCGGGAGAGGGAAGCGGAAUUCCGGGUGUAGCGGUGAAAUGCGUAGAUAUCCGGAGGAACACCGGUGGCGAAGGCGGCUGCCUGGACCGACACUGACGCUGAGGCGCGAAAGCUAGGGGAGCAAACGGG
Molecule: ribosomal RNA, 253 nt
Filed under: uncultured bacterium
Lineage: Bacteria
Description: partial 16S ribosomal RNA
Rfam family: Bacterial small subunit ribosomal RNA
Source: RNAcentral